GGGAGGAGAAAGGGAAUUCCCUUGGGUAGCGGGGGAAAUGCGUGGAGAUUAGGAAGGACCACCCGUGGGCGAAGGCGCUUUUUUGGACUGUAACGGACGCUGGGGCUCGAAAGCGUGGGGAGCAAACAGGAUUAGAUACCCCGGUAGUCCACGCCGUAAACGAUGAAUACUAGGUGUAGGGGUUGUCAUGACCUCUGUGCCGCCGCUAACGCAUUAAGUAUUCCGCCUGGGGAGUACGGUCGCAAGAUUAAAACUCAAAGGAAUUGACGGGGGCCCGCACAAGCAGCGGAGCAUGUGGUUUAAUUCGAAGCAACGCGAAGAACCUUACCUAGACUUGACAUCUCCUGCAUUACUCUUAAUCGAGGAAGUCCCUUCGGGGACAGGAUGACAGGUGGUGCAUGGUUGUCGUCAGCUCGUGUCGUGAGAUGUUGGGUUAAGUCCCGCAACGAGCGCAACCCUUAUUGUUAGUUGCCAUCAUUAAGUUGGGCACUCUAGCGAGACUGCCCGGGUUAACCGGGAGGAAGGUGGGGAUGACGUCAAAUCAUCAUGCCCCUUAUGUCUAGGGCUACACACGUGCUACAAUGGUCGGUACAAUAAGACGCAAGCCCGCGAGGGGGAGCAAAACUGGAAAACCGAUCUCAGUUCGGAUUGUAGGCUGAAACUCGCCUACAUGAAGCUGGAGUUGCUAGUAAUCGCGAAUCAGCAUGUCGCGGUGAAUACGUUCCCGGGCCUUGUACACACCGCCCGUCA
RNAcentral lists this ribosomal RNA (750 nucleotides) under uncultured bacterium. Its description in RNAcentral is "bacterial SSU rRNA". It matches the Rfam family "Bacterial small subunit ribosomal RNA", at positions 650 to 1399 of the family's 1533-position model. The record is from RNAcentral.